GUCCUUGGAGUGUGCUGGAAACGCACGCGAGCCCGCGAAGCUCGUAGACCAGGUUCGAUUCCUGGCUGGGACAC
RNAcentral lists this transfer RNA (74 nucleotides) under Lignipirellula cremea. RNAcentral describes it as "Planctomycetes bacterium Pla85_3_4 tRNA-Arg". It matches the Rfam family "tRNA". Rfam says of the family: Transfer RNA (tRNA) molecules are approximately 80 nucleotides in length. Their secondary structure includes four short double-helical elements and three loops (D, anti-codon, and T loops). Further hydrogen bonds mediate the characteristic L-shaped molecular structure. tRNAs have two regions of fundamental functional importance: the anti-codon, which is responsible for specific mRNA codon recognition, and the 3' end, to which the tRNAs corresponding amino acid is attached (by aminoacyl-tRNA synthetases). tRNAs cope with the degeneracy of the genetic code in two manners: having more than one tRNA (with a specific anti-codon) for a particular amino acid; and 'wobble' base-pairing, i.e. permitting non-standard base-pairing at the 3rd anti-codon position. The record is from RNAcentral. Lineage: Bacteria; Pseudomonadati; Planctomycetota; Planctomycetia; Pirellulales; Pirellulaceae.